AUAUGAAUACAUAUCGACGAGAAACUAAAAUUCGAAAGCAAAGUCGAGAGGCAGUCUCCACUCUCCAGAAAACCAAACUCAUACAGAUGCUCCGUCUACAGGAUUUAUAUUUGACAAAACCCAAAAUACCUUUGAAAUUUCUGAACCACGGCUUAUCUCUUGACCCAUUUGGUUGGAUGCAAGAGUUCUGCAUGCUUCUACACGGACACUGAAAAUGACCCGACCCCAUAAAAAUAAUACCACAAACCAUUCUUCUUCCACCAAUAUAGCAUCACUCCUAAAAGAAAACGAGCAUCAACAAAUUACACAUUUGAUAAGAUUAAUAAUAAUUUUCAAAAAAUAGAAGGAUAAAACUUUUAAGCGGACGACACAAAUUGUAAUCGAACAAUGGAGGACAUAGUGAAUGCAGUUGCUUUUAAUGUUCAUACCGUUAUUCUAUUAUGUUUUGAGCAUUCUGUCUCCAAUAGAAAGCAAAAAUCACAACAGAGUCCUAUUAUAGUUAUUUUUAGUGUUCAAUU
This 518-nucleotide long non-coding RNA is filed under the name Erythranthe guttata (spotted monkey flower). Its description in RNAcentral is "long non-coding RNA (EGUT_LNC002366)". The record is from RNAcentral. Lineage: Eukaryota; Viridiplantae; Streptophyta; Magnoliopsida; Lamiales; Phrymaceae.